Molecule: ribosomal RNA, 3382 nt
Filed under: Watasenia scintillans (sparkling enope)
Lineage: Eukaryota; Metazoa; Mollusca; Cephalopoda; Oegopsida; Enoploteuthidae
Description: eukaryotic LSU rRNA
Rfam family: Eukaryotic large subunit ribosomal RNA
Source: RNAcentral
UUAAGCAUAUUAAUAAGGGAAGGAAAAGAAAUUAACUAAGAUUCCCUGAGUAGCGGCGAGCGAAACGGGAAAAGCCCAGCACUAAGCCCUUCGGUCGUUCUGGCCGACAGGGGAUGCAGUGUAUGGAAAGCCUAUUAUCUUAUAUGACGGUGAUACGUUCAAGUCCAUCUUGAAUGGGGCCAUUAUACCCAUAGAGGGUGCCAGGCCCGUAGCAGCUAUUGCCAAUAUAAGAAGGUUUUUCCAAAGAGUCGUGUUGCUUGAUAGUGCAGCACUAAGUUGGUGGUAAACUCCAUCUAAGGCUAAAUAUAACCAUGAGACCGAUAGCGAACAAGUACCGUGAGGGAAAGUUGAAAAGUACUCUGAAUAGAGAGUUAAAUAGUACGUGAAACCGCUUAGGGAUUAAGCCCGAUGAACCUGAAUAUCCGAAUUGGGAAAUUCAAUACUAUUUUAGUAGCUUAUUCUGAAACCGGUGGCGGUAACAGGGCAAUAAGCAAAACAAUGGUAUGCACUUUUCCCAUUGUAGGACAUUGCGAUCCAUUAAUUUUAAUUUAGCAAAAGGCCCAAACGAUUUGUUCGUUCUGUCUGUGCUGGCUUUUGGUUGGCAUAUGAAUGAAGUCGUAAUUAUGGUGUCCUGCUAAAUAAUUGAUGGAGCUUAACGAUCAUGCCAAAUACACGCCAAGUGUUAUCACGGUUUUUUGUUCGCUUGCGAACAUAAGCGCAGUGAUCGCAUGUAUAUGAUCAGCGAUGCGUUAGAUUUGGGAUACCUUCGGGACCCGUCUUGAAACACGGACCAAGAAGUCUAACAUGUGUGCAAGUCAUUGGGUAUAUAUUGAUGAAACCUAAAGGCGUAAUUAAAAUGACUAUUAUUUUAUAAUGGGAUUACAAGUGAAAUUAAUGGUGCGCAAGUAUUGUUAAUUUUGUUUCUCCAUCCCGGGGCAUUCUAUACGAACAUGGUUAAAGCAAUUUGGCCCUCUGUUCAAGAGCGUACCUUGAGCAUACAUGCUGUGACCCGAAAGAUGGUGAACUAUACCUGACCAGGUUGAAGUCAGGGGAAACCCUGAUGGAGGACUGAAGCAGUUCUGACGUGCAAAUCGAUUGUCAGAGUUAGGUAUAGGGGCGAAAGACCUAUCGAACCAUCUAGUAGCUGGUUCCCUCCGAAGUUUCCCUUAGGAUAGCUGGUGCAAUGAGAAAUUAUAUAUAUAAUCUUAUCUGGUAAAGCGAAUGAUUAGAGGCUUUGGGGCCGAAACGACCUCAACCUAUUCUCAAACUUUAAAUGGGUAAGAACCUCAUCUUUCUUGAUCUGAAGAUAUAGAGGUUUAGAUAUAUUGUGCCCAGUGGGCCACUUUUGGUAAGCAGAACUGGCGCUGUGGGAUGAACCAAACGCGAUGUUACGGCGCCUAAAUUAAUGACUCAUAUUGAUACCAUGAAAGGCGUUGGUUGCUUAAAACAGCAGGGCGGUGGACAUGGAAGUCGUAAUCCGCUAAGGAGUGUGUAACAACUCACCUGCCGAAGCAACUAGCCCUUAAAAUGGAUGGCGCUCAAGUCAUAUGCCUAUACAUCGCCGCUAGAAUAAGCAAAUUUCUUCAAUAUUAUUGGUGAAAUUUAUAAAAUUCUAGUGAGUAGGAGGGUACAAUGGUGUGCGCAGAAGUGUUUGGCGUGAGCCUGCAUGGAGCCGCCAUUGGCACAGAUCUUGGUGGUAGUAGCAAAUAAUCGAAUGAGAUCUUGGAGGACUGAAGUGGAGAAGGGUUUCGUGUGAACAGUGGUUGAUCACGAGUUAGUCGGUCCUAAGCUCUAGGCGAAAGCUGUUCAAUUUAUGUUACAAAAAAUGUUGAAUGUUCUCAAUUAUUGAUGUACAUGUAAAUUAUACAAGAGCGAAAGGGAAUACGGUUCCAAUUCCGUAACCUGUUGAGUAUACGUUUGUUUAUUAAAAAUGGGUCUUAUUAUCACUCAUCCUGGCAACAGGAACAACCAUAGAGAAGCCUUCGAGAGAUAUUGGAAGAGUUUUCUUUUCUGUUGAACAAUCGUAUCACCAUGGAAGUCUUUCGCAGAGAGAUAUGGUGAAUGGAUUGGAAGAGCAUGACAUUUACUGUUGUGUCAGUAUGUUCUCCUUGGACCUUGAAAAUCUAUGGUGGGGCCACGCAAACAUCUCAACAGUCCGUACCGAUAUCCGCAGCCGGUCUCCAAGGUGAAGAGUCUCUAGUCGAUAGAAUAAUGUAGGUAAGGGAAGUCGGCAAAUUAGAUCCGUAACUUCGGGAUAAGGAUUGGCUCUGAAGAUUGAGAUAGUCGGGCUUGAUUGGGAAACAAUUAUAACGGUUUAUGUGCUCGUUCUGGGUAAUAUAGAACUGUGCUGUGUAAAAGCGGUCAGUUCGUUCCCCGGAUAGUAGAUUUCAUAGCCAAAUUGUGGAACUUUCUUGCUGUGCUGGCGGCCGGCUUUCAUCGGUUGGUCGUCGAAAACGAUUAUCAAUAAACAAUUAAUUCAGAACUGGCACGGACCAGGGGAAUCCGACUGUCUAAUUAAAACAAAGCAUCGUGUGGCCGGUCGACCCGUACAGACACGAUGUGAUUUCUGCCCAGUGCUCUGAAUGUCAAAGUGAAGAGAUUCAAGUAAGCGCGGGUUAACGGCGGGAGUAACUAUGACUCUCUUAAGGUAGCCAAAUGCCUCGUCAUCUAACUAGUGACGCGCAUGAAUGGAUUAACGAGAUUCCUACUGUCCCUAUCUACUAUCUAGCGAAAUCACAGCCAAGGGAACGGGCUUGGAACGAUCGGCGGGGAAAGAAGACCCUGUUGAGCUUGACACUAGUCUGGCACUGUAAGGAGACGUAAGGGGUGUAGCAUAAGUGGGAGACAAAUGGAUCAUUUGAUUUAUUUGUCGACAAUGAAAUACCACUACCCUUAUUGUUUCCUUACUUACUUGAUGAGGUGGACGUGCAUCAUUUUACUUAGCCAUUUCAUAAAUGCACACCUCGUUGUGGGUAUUUUUAUGGUAUUUUGUGUUGGUGCGAAUUUCUAGCUCCGAAAUAUCAUGAGUUUUGUUAUUCAUUUUCAAACAAAUUUCGUUAAUACGCUGUAUUUUCAUUUGCCGGCGCGAUCUAUAGUAGCUUCGGCGAAUUAGAUCGCUCAGCGGACGGAGGUUGCGUAGGAAUUUGGUUUAGCUUUCAUGGCUUAGAUAUGAUUCAAAUCAAGGACACUGCCAGGUGGGCUGUUUGGCUGGGGCGGUACAUCUCUCAAACAAUAACGGAGGUGUCCCAAGGCCAGCUCAGUGCGGACAGAAACCACACAUAGAGCAAAAGGGCAAAUGCUGGCUUGAUCUCGGUAUUCAGUACAUACAGAGACAGCAAAAGCUGGGCCUAUCGAUCCUUUUGGUUUUAACGAGUUUUUAGCA